RNAcentral lists this ribosomal RNA (390 nucleotides) under uncultured bacterium. Its description in RNAcentral is "bacterial SSU rRNA". It matches the Rfam family "Bacterial small subunit ribosomal RNA", at positions 29 to 419 of the family's 1533-position model. The record is from RNAcentral.
AUUGAACGCUGGCGGCGUGCCUAACACAUGCAAGUCGAGCGGUAACAGGUGUAGCAAUACAUGCUGACGAGCGGCGAACGGGUGAGUAAUGCUUCGGAAUCUACCCAAUGGUGGGGAAUAACCAGCCGAAAGGUUGGCUAAUACCGCAUACGUCCCACGGGAGAAAGCAGGGGAUCGCAAGACCUUGCGCCAAUGGAUGAGCCGAAGUCGGAUUAGCUAGNGGUAGGGUAACGGCCUACCAAGGCGACGAUCCGUAGCUGGUCUGAGAGGACGACCAGCCAUACUGGGACUGAGACACGGCCCAGACUCCUACGGGAGGCAGCAGUGGGGAAUAUUGGACAAUGGGGGAAACCCUAAUCCAGCGACGCCGCGUGUGUGAAGAAGGCCUGC